RNAcentral lists this long non-coding RNA (570 nucleotides) under Homo sapiens (human). Its description in RNAcentral is "HSALNT0314999". Lineage: Eukaryota; Metazoa; Chordata; Mammalia; Primates; Hominidae. The record is from RNAcentral.
GCCCAUAUCACACGCAGGACCAUGCUCUUAAGCAGGUAAGAAGGUGGCUAUCUGCAAGCCAGGAAGAGAGGCCUCACUAGCAACUGAAAAUGCUGUCUCCCUGACCUUGGACUUCUCAGCCUCCAGACCUCCUUCCAGAUAAAAUCCAGGCUCCCUAAGGGCCUCCCUGAGUACAUGGACUGCAGUUGUUGAUGGAUUUUCUGCAUGUCUGGAAGACAGAAAAAGCGUCUUGGAUCAUGGUGUGGGGUGUGAGAUUGACAGGAUCUCCGAGAGGACAGUCGCUUCCAGAGCACUUCAGAAGCCAGUGAUUUCUCAGUCCUCCACUCUUCUCCCCUUCCCUAUCUGUGGUCUCCAGUGUGAUCACCUAGAAAAAGAGCUUUGGAACCAUAUAGACCAAGCUCAAAUCCAGUUCUCUACCACUUCGCAGGUGUGGAGCCUCAAGCAAGGUACCCAGGCUCCUACAAUCCCUAAACCAGGGAUGAUGACUCCCGCAGAGUGUAUGUGAAGCUCCAGACACAUGGACCAUCUCCACCUGGCAGGAGUCAUUAUUUCUCACAAAUGACUCUCUCC